UUGGUCCUGUUCUGCCCUUUACUAAAAAUUUAAAUCAUUUCUAUGACUAGGCUCUUAUUUUGAAACUCAUGCUAUUAUUCUGACACAUGUACCAUACAACCAGAAGUGCUUUGAUACACGUGACUUGAAAUGCAUGAACCUGAGAGAAAGAAGAAAGAUCUGCAUAGCGGGGCAUCCCUUCAAUCAAUAGACAAUUUUGCGUGAAGCAAUACUCAUAUACCAAAUGUAUUACAUCAUGUAUUGCUACAUCCAUCCAUUCUCUGAGCUGCUUAGCCACACAAGGGUUGUGGGAAUGCUGGAGCCUAUCCCAGCUAUCUUCACCUAGGAGUGGGAGGAAACCAGAAUGCCCGGAGGAAAACCAUGCAGGCACAGGGAGAACGUGGAAUCUCCACACAGGGAGGCCUGGGAUUGAACCCGGGUCCUCAAAACUGUGAGGCCAUCGCUUUCCAGCUGGUUCACUGUGCCGGCUGGGGAGAACAUACAAACAUCAUACAGUUGGCCAUAGUCAUUGUUGACUUUGAUUGUGGCACUGCCAUCUGUACAUCUGUGGAGCUGCUGUGGCUCGGCUGUCAUCUGCCUACUUCCGUGGAAAUCAUUGCCUUGGUGGAAGGCGCUGGACUUCAGUGUUGUCGCCACUGUGGCCAAGCAGUCUCCCGCAGCGGACUAUCUGCCACCCAGCUUUGGUGGACCUAUCCUUUUGUGUCAUUAUUCAUAAAAGCUGCUCUCUGUACAAGCUUAAAGGAAGACCCUCCCCAAAAUUCACAUGUAC
Molecule: long non-coding RNA, 769 nt
Organism: Syngnathoides biaculeatus (alligator pipefish)
Lineage: Eukaryota; Metazoa; Chordata; Actinopteri; Syngnathiformes; Syngnathidae
Exons: 3
Source: RefSeq, a predicted model, not a curated record